RNAcentral lists this ribosomal RNA (440 nucleotides) under uncultured bacterium. RNAcentral describes it as "partial 16S ribosomal RNA". It matches the Rfam family "Bacterial small subunit ribosomal RNA", at positions 338 to 795 of the family's 1533-position model. The record is from RNAcentral.
CCUACGGGGGGCAGCAGUAGGGAAUAUUGCUCAAUGGGGGAAACCCUGAUGCAGCGACGCCGCGUGAGUGAAGAAGUAAUUCGUUAUGUAAAGCUCUAUCAGCAGGGAAGAAAAUGACGGUACCUGAGUAAGAAGCCCCGGCUAACUACGUGCCAGCAGCCGCGGUAAUACGUAGGGGGCAAGCGUUAUCCGGAUUUACUGGGUGGAAAGGGAGCGUAGACGGCAGUGCAAGUCUGGAGUGAAAGGCGGGGGCUCAACCCCCGGACUGCUCUGGAAACUGUACGGCUGGAGUGCAGGAGAGGUAAGUGGAAUUCCUAGUGUAGCGGUGAAAUGCGUAGAUAUUAGGAGGAACACCAGUGGCGAAGGCGGCUUACUGGACUGUAACUGACGUUGAGGCUCGAAAGCGUGGGGAGCAAACAGGAUUAGAUACCCGUGUAGUC